CUACGGGCCGCUGCAGUGGGGAAUAUUGCACAAUGGGCGCAAGCCUGAUGCAGCAACGCCGCGUGAACGAAGAAGGUCUUCGGAUCGUAAAGUUCUUUUCUUAGGGAAGAAAAAUGACGGUACCUAAGGAAUAAGCACCGGCUAAAUACGUGCCAGCAGCCGCGGUAAUACGUAUGGUGCAAGCGUUAUCCGGAAUCACUGGGCGUAAAGGGAGCGUAGGCGGUUUUGCAAGUCAGAAGUGAAAGGCUACGGCUCAACCGUGGUAAGCUUUUGAAACUGCAAGACUAGAGUGCAGGAGAGGCAAGUGGAAUUCCUAGUGUAGAGGUGAAAUUCGUAGAUAUUAGGAGGAACACCAGUGGCGAAGGCGACUUGCUGGACUGUAACUGACGCUGAGGCUCGAAAGCGUGGGGAGCGAACAGGAUUAGAUACCCGGGUAGUC
This 439-nucleotide ribosomal RNA is filed under the name uncultured bacterium. RNAcentral describes it as "partial 16S ribosomal RNA". It matches the Rfam family "Bacterial small subunit ribosomal RNA", at positions 339 to 795 of the family's 1533-position model. The record is from RNAcentral.